RNAcentral lists this ribosomal RNA (400 nucleotides) under uncultured bacterium. RNAcentral's name for it is "bacterial SSU rRNA". It matches the Rfam family "Bacterial small subunit ribosomal RNA", at positions 359 to 776 of the family's 1533-position model. The record is from RNAcentral.
GAAUCUUAGACAAUGGGCGCAAGCCUGAUCUAGCCAUGCCGCGUGAGUGACGAAGGCCCUAGGGUCGUAAAGCUCUUUCACCAGGGAUGAUAAUGACAGUACCUGGAGAAGAAACCCCGGCUAACUCCGUGCCCGCAGCCGCGGUAAUACGGAGGGGGUUAGCGGUGUUCGGAAUUACUGGGCGUAAAGCGCGCGUAGGCGGGCUGUUAAGUCGGGGGUGAAAUCCCGGGGCUCAACCCCGGAACUGCCCUCGAUACUGGCAGCCUAGAGUUCGAGAGAGGUGAGUGGAAUUCCGAGUGUAGAGGUGAAAUUCGUAGAUAUUCGGAGGAACACCAGUGGCGAAGGCGGCUCACUGGCUCGAUACUGACGCUGAGGUGCGAAAGCGUGGGGAGCAAACAGG